GAUGAACGCUGGCGGCGUGCCUAAUACAUGCAAGUCGAGCGAACGGACGAGAAGCUUGCUUCUCUGAUGUUAGCGGCGGACGGGUGAGUAACACGUGGAUAACCUACCUAUAAGACUGGGAUAACUUCGGGAAACCGGAGCUAAUACCGGAUAAUAUUUUGAACCGCAUGGUUCAAAAGUAAAAGACGGUCUUGCUGUCACUUAUAGAUGGAUCCGCGCUGCAUUAGCUAGUUGGUAAGGUAACGGCUUACCAAGGCAACGAUGCAUAGCCGACCUGAGAGGGUGAUCGGCCACACUGGAACUGAGACACGGUCCAGACUCCUACGGGAGGCAGCAGUAGGGAAUCUUCCGCAAUGGGCGAAAGCCUNGACGGAGCACGCCGCGUGAGUGAUGAAGGUCUUCGGAUCGUNAAACUCUGUUAUUAGGGAAGAACAUAUGUGNUAGUAACUGUGCACAUCUUGACGGUACCUAAUCAGAAAGGCACGGGCUACUACGUGCCAGCAGCCGCGUAAUACGUAAGUGGGCAGCGUUAUCCGGAUUUAUUGGGCGUAACGCGCGUAGCGGUUUUUUAGUCUGAUGUGAAAGCCCACGGCUCAGCCGUGGAGGGUCAUUGGAAACUGGAAAACUUGAGUGCAGAAGAGGAAAGUGGAAUUCCAUGUGUAGCGGUGAAAUGCGCAGAGAUAUGGAGGAACACCAGUGGCGAAGGCGACUUUCUGGUCUGUAACUGACGCUGAUGUGCGAAAGCGUGGGGAUCAAACAGAAUUAGAUACCCUGGUAGUCCACGCCGUAAACGAUGAGUGCUAAGUGUUAGGGGGUUUCCGCCCCUUAGUGCUGCAGCUAACGCAUUAAGCACUCCGCCUGGGGAGUACGACCGCAAGGUUGAAACUCAAAGGAAUUGACGGGGACCCGCACAAGCGGUGGAGCAUGUGGUUUAAUUCGAAGCAACGCGAAGAACCUUACCAAAUCUUGACAUCCUUUGACAACUCUAGAGAUAGAGCCUUCCCCUUCGGGGGACAAAGUGACAGGUGGUGCAUGGUUGUCGUCAGCUCGUGUCGUGAGAUGUUGGGUUAAGUCCCGCAACGAGCGCAACCCUUAAGCUUAGUUGCCAUCAUUAAGUUGGGCACUCUAAGUUGACUGCCGGUGACAAACCGGAGGAAGGUGGGGAUGACGUCAAAUCAUCAUGCCCCUUAUGAUUUGGGCUACACACGUGCUACAAUGGACAAUACAAAGGGCAGCGAAACCGCGAGGUCAAGCAAAUCCCAUAAAGUUGUUCUCAGUUCGGAUUGUAGUCUGCAACUCGACUACAUGAAGCUGGAAUCGCUAGUAAUCGUAGAUCAGCAUGCUACGGUGAAUACGUUCCCGGGUCU
RNAcentral lists this ribosomal RNA (1367 nucleotides) under uncultured bacterium. RNAcentral describes it as "bacterial SSU rRNA". It matches the Rfam family "Bacterial small subunit ribosomal RNA", at positions 28 to 1381 of the family's 1533-position model. The record is from RNAcentral.